Molecule: non-coding RNA, 3101 nt
Organism: Cyanistes caeruleus (blue tit)
Lineage: Eukaryota; Metazoa; Chordata; Aves; Passeriformes; Paridae
Source: RefSeq, a predicted model, not a curated record
UUUGUGAAAGGAAAGCCUACUUCAAUUGUUUCCACUACUUGGUCACAGACUCGGACAAGUUGCCAGAGAUCUACAGGCACAUCCCACAGCCCCGAGCAAGCUCCUCUUCACUAAGUCACACCAGGGGUGGGUGACAGCACCAUGGAGGAUUAACAAGAAAGCUCUGCAAAGGCUGUCUAAAACAAAGAGAAGAUAUUAGGCACUUUGCACUGUUCCUGACCACUGCUCUUCUUUCCUGCACUUCUAAAACCUCUGAUUUGUGCCCUCUGCUUUCUUGUUGCCAUGGAGAAGGUCCAACACAUGACCCGCUCCGCUCUGAGGAGAGCCUCAACUAUUGAGGUCAACCCACAAGCACGCCAAAGGCUCCAAGAGCUCUUUGUGAAUUUCUGCCUGAUUUUAAUAUGCCUCUUGCUGAUCUGUAUCAUAGUGAUGCUUCUCUGAAGUUCCAGCACUUCUCUGCCCUGUCCUCUAGGAAUGUCACCCCGGGAAGAAGAGAGACCUACACGUGCAACUCCCAGUGCAAGGAUCCUCAUGUGACAGGGGCUAGCACUUGGACUAGAGGGUGUGCCAACCAGUGCUCUGUUAUCUUACUGCCCGCUACAUGUAUUAAAAACACAUUUUCUGUGCAGAACAGUGUUUAGAGCCUGUAGUUACAAAGUUUUGCAUGACUCAGUUUGUCAGUCUCAAUCAACAGAUGUCUUUACUACGUGGGGUAAAUCAGUAAAUCAGAUUAUCUGCUCUGAUCAGUAACAGCCAGCAGCUGGUAAAGUCCAUAUUUUAGUCAGAUAAAUACCACCAUCACUUUUUGGGGGCCUAAGUGUUUUUAGGUUUCUUGGAAAAUCUUUAAGCCCUUGGAAGGGUUCCAAAUUUGGAUCAUGCCUGCCCAAGGAAGAGCUUACAGGUAUACAGCCCUCAACACAUCCUGGGAAAAUUUCUGCUCUGCCUAGUUCAAGGUGCUGCAUCUCUGCAUUAUCAACUGAAGGCAUUCAAAUUGCUUUAGUGUUUUUCAGAGAAAUAUGAGAAUGAACCAAAAAUCUCUUCUAACUCAGAAAUUAAAAACUAUUUCAUAUGUUUUUCUCCCUAUUUAAGGGAUUUUAUAUAUCUGACAUCUGGAAAGAUUUUUCAUUAUGUUUUACAGAAAAAAAUUGACACUACCAUAACUGAUAUAAAAAAUUUUGUUUUCCAUAGUCAUUUGACUGACAUGACAACUGGCACAACUUGGAUUCUCAGAGUUCUUAAUAUUUGCCUUUAGACAAUUUAAUUAAGGCUUGUUCUAAUUUAUGUAAUCAUUUUCUUAGUUUAAAACUACAGAAAAUUUGGAACUUGCCAAUGUCACAUGAGGUGGCUUACACCUGAUGUGACAGUGGGCAAAGUCUAGGUCACCAUUACUAUUGUGACUGAAGUGCACCCAUACAAAUAACACAUUUGCAUGUGUAUGUGAUGUAACAUCCCCAUCUUCAGCUGCAAAUUCCUGCUAUAGAACAUGCAAGUAAUUUCCUAAAAUAUAUGACAGAUAAAAAAAAAUCAUCAUAAACAAUUAUGCACAGGAGGGGAAAGCACAGCAGAAGUAUCUUUUCAACAUGUAAACCAUAGGCUAUAUACAUAAAAGAUGACACAUCUACUCCAAAAAUUGUGAGUAAAAAGACUGAGUAGAAGACUUCCAAGCCUACUAACCCUAUUACAUGUUGCUGGUAUUAAGCAAAAGUCCUAGAAAUUCGAUACACUUCUCAAAUUUAAAGACAGCUCAAAAAUCAACAGGCAGAGGUCACAGACAUCCAUUUCUUAAAGAUAUAUUCUUCUAUUCCAUUUUAUGUAAACAUUCUUACUGAUGAAUACAGAAAAUCAAAAUAAGUUUAUCUUAAUAGUUCAUGAGUAAAAGUUGACAAUGAACAGCUGAGCAGGAAGGGAAGAAACCUUUGAAAAAACUUUGUAUUCAAUGGAAUGCAAGCAAAUCCCGUGGUGAAUUUCCUCUCUGGUGAUUAGGUAUGUUGAGACCAGACUCUGAAAUAAGAUUACCCACUAGAGGAAAUGAAGAUAGCUAUUUGUAUAAGGAUUGGGGCAAGCACUGGUGAAACUGGCAACACACCCACACACUUGCAAGUUAGUACAUGAGCAUUACUGAUUUGCACUGUCAGUGUAAAUCUCAAUUUCUGUUUCAUGCAUUCUGACCACUCUCACAAAUGCAUGAGAUUUUAGCAAGCAUAUUUCCCCGUUUUAAUCCUCCUUACUUUUUUUCUCUUUUCAAAUCUGUAUUUUUGUGAUGGAUAGAGUUCCUAGCUUUAGUUUCCUUUGGAUGUGUUUCAAGAGACUUCAAUGGAAAUUGACAACAGUUUUACAGUACUGAACACUUGCUGAAGAAAAGAAGUGUUAAGAGUAAAGCAUCAACACUACAUUCUGAGGACAUGUUUGGGUUAUAGGUUCCACAAGCGAGUAAUAUAAAGGAGUCAGAGCAAAGCACUGCUAAAAAAUGGAAACCAAUAAAAACAACUUCCAACUUCCCCUUAUGUAACUGAAAACUCGUAACUUAUUUUAAAACAAUAACCAAACACGAACAAAACCAAGUUAUCCAUAAAAUGGAAGCCCUACUGCUAUUUUACAGCAAUGCAGAUAUAUUGCAUAUACUGUAUGGUUCAUUUGUCUUAGGCUUCUGUUGAUCAGAAAAUCUGUUACUAGCCUCUAUAUCACCAAUUGUCAGCUGAACCAAGAAAUUUUAAAAAAACCCUUUUGUACAUAAUACAAUCUUCUUUGUAGACUUAUAUAAGCUUUAAAAAUAAUAUCUAUAGUAUUUUUAUUUAAUAAGAGGACUUCUUGAAAAAUAUUAACACAUAAAAUAUAUCCGAUUCUGUUUAGAAAGCAUCCAUUCUAUUAUUUAUUAAAACUAUGUGAAAAGAAGUUAGUCAUCACACAGCUAAUUCUCUAUUUAUUCUGUUUUGGUUUUCAAGAGUAAUCUUGACUAUUUUGUGAUGUCCAGGUCACUUACAUGUACCUGAUUCCACUCAGUAGCUAGUGCUUGUAACUAUUCCUAAUGAAUUUUCUGCAAGUGUAAUCAAAAAUUUCACCACUUUUAUGAGCCAUAAUAAAAAUUGCAAACAUGUACAGCA